RNAcentral lists this ribosomal RNA (253 nucleotides) under uncultured bacterium. Its description in RNAcentral is "partial 16S ribosomal RNA". It matches the Rfam family "Bacterial small subunit ribosomal RNA", at positions 524 to 776 of the family's 1533-position model. The record is from RNAcentral.
UACGUAGGUGGCAAGCGUUGUCCGGAUUUACUGGGCGUAAAGAGCGCGCAGGCGGUCGGAUAAGUCGAAUGUGAAAGCCCCCGGCUUAACUGGGGAGGGUCAUUCGAUACUGUUCGACUCGAAGGCAGGAGAGGGAAGCGGAAUUCCCGGUGUAGUGGUGAAAUGCGUAGAUAUCGGGAGGAACACCAGUGGCGAAGGCGACUGCCUGGCCUGUUCUUGACGCUGAGGCGCGAAAGCUAGGGGAGCAAACGGG